RNAcentral lists this ribosomal RNA (883 nucleotides) under Sphaeroidina bulloides. RNAcentral's name for it is "bacterial SSU rRNA". It matches the Rfam family "Eukaryotic small subunit ribosomal RNA", at positions 1160 to 1677 of the family's 1831-position model. The record is from RNAcentral. Lineage: Eukaryota; Foraminifera; Rotaliida; Sphaeroidinidae.
AAGGGCACCACAAGAACGCGUGGAGCAUGUGGCUUAAUUUGACUCAACGCGGGAAAUCUUACCGGGUCCGGACACACUGAGGAUUGACAGGUAGUUCUAUACUCAUUCACACACGUGUGUUGAGUAUCGUAAAAAUAUGCUAGUCCUUUCAUGAUUAUGUGAUAGGUGGUGCAUGGCCGUUCUUAGUUCGUGGAGUGAUCUGUCUGCUUAAUUGCGUUUCACAUAAGGGGCUAUAAACAAAUUUUACUCCAGAAUUAAUUUGCGUUUCGGCGCAUAUUUUUGUUGUAUAAAUUUUUAGCCUCUGAAAGCAACGAACGUGACCGCGACCUCUUGUUGCUUUCAUUACAUUACACCAAAUAACGAAAGCUUAUUCUUAAAAAUAAACUAGAGGGACCGCUGCUACUUUCUUAAACCAGAGGAAGGUCGCGGCAAUAACAGGUCUGUGAUGCCCUUAGAUGUUCCGGGCUGCACACGUGCUACAAUGAUUAUUGCAGUGAGUAUCUUACACAUUAUACACACUGCUUACUGUUAGUUUGAUCGAUACCUUACGGUUUAGAUCGAGUUAACUGGCGGUAAAUAGCCUACUUCGAAAGUAAGUGGGCAAUCAAUUAGAAGUAAUGAUUUCCUAUUCAAAUAAAAAAUUUAUUUUUUAUGCGAUACAGCACACAGAUAUACGAUUCUCAUACCCGGGUAAUCAUUUAAUGAAUUACUUUUUUUGUGCGUAUGUUUUAGAAUUUCACGUAUGUGCGAUUGUCAAUUCAUGGUGGGGACAGACCAUUGUUUUAAUUGUUGGUCUCGGUCUUAACUAGGAAUGCCUUGUACGGGUCUUUGGUUCAACAAACCACCCGGAAUACGUCCCUGCCCUUUGUACACACCGCCCGUC